CUUUUAUUAUCUAAUGAUUCUAAGAAUGACACUUAGGCAUCCAAGGUCAGAGGGGAAACUUGAAGCCUGUCAUGGAGUCAGUUUGGUUCAGACAGGUGUCCUUUCAAAGACAUGGGAGUGGGUCAGCUUUCCGGAUUUCUCCACACAGGCACUGAAGUGGAAAUGGAGUACCAGCGUUUCCUCAUCUGAUUAUUCAGAGCACAGAAUCAGUUCUUCACCUCACUCAGAACAUUAAUCUGUCUACUCAAGCUAAUCCACUCCCCAGUGGCAAAAGUCCCAAGAAAAUGCUGUUACCUACUUCUGCCUUCCAAUAUCACACUGAACUGAACAAAGAAAUGAGCAAAAAUUUAAGAUAAUUAUCUGCAGGAACAGCAAAAACUAGAAAGGUCUCUUCAAAAGGCCUGAAAAUUUGAUUAAUUUCUGGGAGAUAUGAGGCUUGUCAGCCUUAUAAGAUAAGACUGUUGUGCCGUCAGCUCAUUAUCCAACUUAAGCAAAAGGCCACUUGGUAAAAAAGUGGGCGGGUUUCACUCAGUGAGUAUGUGUGUCCAGGUCCUGUGAGAAGCAACCUGGGAGGGAAAUUGGCAUGGAAUCCAAGGGAGCAAUAGAUCACGAUUCAAACCUGACCCUGAAUGAAGGACGGAGGAAGGAAGAAAGCAAGGUUGGGUGGAAAUGUCACCGACUGAAGGUCAAAGGAAGGUUCAGCCAAAGUUGCUGCCAGAGACAUCCUGCUUCUCCCCGGAACAAGCCUGCCUUUGAAUCCCUGCCAUAGUCAUUGGCAAGGGCAGCCUGUGGGAAGUGUGACUUUCAUUAAAAUGUAGCCAAGGAAGUUAGAGUACA
This is a long non-coding RNA of Suricata suricatta (meerkat), 837 nucleotides long. RefSeq lists it as uncharacterized. NCBI's taxonomy places the organism in Eukaryota, Metazoa, Chordata, Mammalia, Carnivora, Herpestidae. The transcript has 2 exons. The record is from RefSeq and is a predicted model, not a curated record.